Molecule: long non-coding RNA, 505 nt
Organism: Cucurbita moschata (crookneck pumpkin)
Lineage: Eukaryota; Viridiplantae; Streptophyta; Magnoliopsida; Cucurbitales; Cucurbitaceae
Exons: 2
Source: RefSeq, a predicted model, not a curated record
AUAUAUUUAUUUAAUUUAGACGCCGUCGCUGCUUCACCGAAAUUGCUCUCUUUUCCUCUUCUUCUUCUUCCACGCUUCCUCCAUUUUUGCAAGAUGAAGAAAUCUGGUUUCAUUGCCGCUUCCGUCGCCGCCGCCACCGCCGCCGUCUCCGCUUCCCCUUCUUCCUCUACUCUGUUCUGCGACCCAAAAAUUCAGCUCCCUCGUCAGGAGGAAAAGGAAUUAGGAGAGAAUUCUUCGUCAUCGGCGGAUAAAUUUGCUCCCAAAUUUGAUGGGUUGAGAUUUAUUGAAACUCUGGUGACGGCUCACAGAUGAGCUCCGCCGCGGGACGGCCAUGUAUGCGACGGCGGGACCCACCUCGGCCGCAACUCUGUUUGUCUGGUUUUUUUUUUUUUUAAAUGUGAUUUUUCUUGUGGAAAGAAAGGAUAGAUGAUGGAAAAAGUUGUUAAAAGUCUCUUAUUUUGUACAUUAAAAAAUAGAUUAAAUAAUAAUUUUAGUUUUUAGCUUU